UACGGGAGGCAGCAGUGAGGAAUAUUGGUCAAUGGGCGAGAGCCUGAACCAGCCAAGUAGCGUGCAGGACGACGGCCCUAUGGGUUGUAAACUGCUUUUAUAUGGGGAUAAAGUGAGUUACGUGUAGCUUAUUGCAGGUACCAUAUGAAUAAGGACCGGCUAAUUCCGUGCCAGCAGCCGCGGUAAUACGGAAGGUCCAGGCGUUAUCCGGAUUUAUUGGGUUUAAAGGGAGCGUAGGCCGCCCCUUAAGCGUGUUGUGAAAUGCCGCGGCUCAACCGUGGCACUGCAGCGCGAACUGGGGGGCUUGAGUGCACGCAACGCAGGCGGAAUUCGUGGUGUAGCGGUGAAAUGCUUAGAUAUCACGAAGAACCCCGAUUGCGAAGGCAGCUUGCGGGAGUGCGACUGACGCUGAAGCUCGAAGGUGCGGGUAUCGAACAGGAUUAGAUACCCUGGUAGUCCGCACAGUAAACGAUGGAUGCCCGCUGUGUGCCCUAGAGGUACGCGGCCAAG
This 510-nucleotide ribosomal RNA is filed under the name uncultured bacterium. RNAcentral's name for it is "bacterial SSU rRNA". It matches the Rfam family "Bacterial small subunit ribosomal RNA", at positions 340 to 851 of the family's 1533-position model. The record is from RNAcentral.